GACGAACGCUGGCGGCGUGCUUAACACAUGCAAGUCGUACGGUAAGACCCUUUCGGGGGUACACGAGUGGCGAACGGGUGAGUAACACGUGAGUAACCUGCCCACAACUUUGGGAUAACGCUAGGAAACUGGUGCUAAUACUGGAUAUGUGCUCCUGCUGCAUGGUGGGGGUUGGAAAGCUCCGGCGGUUGUGGAUGGACUCGCGGCCUAUCAGCUUGUUGGUGGGGUAGUGGCCUACCAAGGCGGCGACGGGUAGCCGGCCUGAGAGGGUGACCGGCCACAUUGGGACUGAGAUACGGCCCAGACUCCGACGGGAGGCAGCAGUGGGGAAUAUUGCACAAUGGGCGCAAGCCUGAUGCAGCAACGCCGCGUGCGGGAUGACGGCCUUCGGGUUGUAAACCGCUUUCAGCAGGGACGAAGCUUUUUGUGACGGUACCUGCAGAAGAAGCACCGGCUAACUACGUG
RNAcentral lists this ribosomal RNA (465 nucleotides) under uncultured bacterium. RNAcentral's name for it is "partial 16S ribosomal RNA". It matches the Rfam family "Bacterial small subunit ribosomal RNA", at positions 28 to 507 of the family's 1533-position model. The record is from RNAcentral.